AGAAUCAACGCUGGCGGCGUGCCUAACACAUGCAAGUCGCACGAGAAAGUGGAGCAAUCCGCGAGUAAAGUGGCGCACGGGUGAGUAACACGUGAAUAAUCUACCUCCGAGUGGGGAAUAACUGAGAGAAAUCUUAGCUAAUACCGCAUAACACUUACGAGUCAAAGCAGCAAUGCGCUUGGAGAGGAGUUCGCGGCCGAUUAGUUAGUUGGCGGGGUAAUGGCCCACCAAGACGAUGAUCGGUA
RNAcentral lists this ribosomal RNA (245 nucleotides) under uncultured bacterium. RNAcentral describes it as "partial small subunit ribosomal RNA". It matches the Rfam family "Bacterial small subunit ribosomal RNA", at positions 26 to 285 of the family's 1533-position model. The record is from RNAcentral.